Molecule: long non-coding RNA, 1119 nt
Filed under: Olea europaea subsp. europaea
Lineage: Eukaryota; Viridiplantae; Streptophyta; Magnoliopsida; Lamiales; Oleaceae
Source: RNAcentral
CUACAGCAUUUGAGUAAUCAUCUUGGAAUAUUUCCCAACAGGAGGGUACAACACCUUGAACCUAUAUGCUGAGGAUGAAUUACAUCAUUCUGCACAAGCUGGGGAGGUGGCAAAAGAAUUACAAAUUAUGCUCCGGUAAAAUAUAUGCUGGAUGAUCAUAAUAAUCUUGUAGUUUCCUCUUUCACUUUUUUGACGUUUUAUUGCUUUGUAAAAGAUUUUAUUGCAUUAUCUUUGGUACAAUCAACGAGUUUUGUAGGUUCUGAAAUCGUUAAACAGAGCAAGGAACAGAGGGUUCUCUUAUGCCUUGUACCUUGAUUCGAUGAAUAAGCGAUAUAUUGAAGAGUUCUUUUCUUGUAAUGUCUUCAUUUUGAAGGUAUUCAACUAAUCACAUUUUGCACUGAUUAAUACGAUAUAUUUCAUCAAGGAAACUGCGGUUUAUUUUCUUAAAUUACUUGGUGGUCUUACUCAGAUUUACAAGUAAUUACUAAAAUCAUAUAAUUCAUAGACUUGUAUGGGAAAAUGUUCUUUCUACACCAACAACCAAUGGGUUAAGUUUCAAUGAGCGAAACUAAAGGAAUUUUACUGCAUAUGUUCCAAAAUCUUUUUUUUUCCCCAGUUUGCUAUCCUUUGUGCAUUCGAACUUUCAAUCAAUUCGUAGUUAUCUUCCUAGAUUAGAGCUCAAAGAAUUUUUCUCAAAUGUGUCAGGUUGAAGAAUGUCCUAUUCAAUUUGAAGAAUUACUUGAUGCUGACGAAGUUUUCUGCACAGGUUAUGUUACUCUUAACAUCUUUCUUAAAUAGAGUUUGAAGCACAUCCCUUAAUACGUAACAUCUUUUCCUGGUGUAGGUGCAACCUGGAGGACUAUAAGCAGGAUCAAUGAUUGUCAUCUUCGGGUUGGAAGCAAUAGGAUUAGUUGUGUGAUCUUCCACCUGAUAGAAUAGAAGGAUUUGUUGCAUAUCUAAUUCAUGAUGAUGAAUAGUUAUAUUUUUUUAGGUGCAUAAUAAUAGAAAGAGCAUGCUUGCUUUGCUCUUUUAAAUUUAGAUGUAAUGAUACUUUGUAAAUGGUUUUUAUUUUUGUUUUGAUGAAAUAUUUUUAAUUCAAUUUUAUAUUGAUUGAUACUA